UUCGUCCUACGGGGCGCAGCAGUGGGGAAUAUUGCACAAUGGGGGGAACCCUGAUGCAGCGACGCCGCGUGGGUGAAGAAGUAUUUCGGUAUGUAAAGCCCUCUCAGCAGGGAAGAAGAAUGACGGUACCUGACUAAGAAGCACCGGCUAAAUACGUGCCAGCAGCCGCGGUAAUACGUAUGGUGCAAGCGUUAUCCGGAUUUACUGGGUGUAAAGGGAGCGCAGGCGGUGCGGCAAGUCUGAUGUGAAAGCCCGGGGCCCAACCCAGGUACUGCAUUGGAAACUGCCGAACUUGAGGGUCGGAG
This 305-nucleotide ribosomal RNA is filed under the name uncultured bacterium. Its description in RNAcentral is "bacterial SSU rRNA". It matches the Rfam family "Bacterial small subunit ribosomal RNA", at positions 333 to 654 of the family's 1533-position model. The record is from RNAcentral.